AGUUCGAUUCUGGCUCAGAUUGAACGCUGGCGGGAUGCUUUACACAUGCAAGUCGAACGGCAGCACGGACUUCGGUCAGGUGGCGAGUAGUGAACGGGUGAGUAAUGUAUCGGAACGUGCCUAGUAGCGGGGGAUAACUACGCGAAAGCGUAGCUAAUACCGCACACAGCCCGCCCUUCGGGGAAAGCGGGGACCUUUCGGCCUCGCACUAUUAGAGCGGCCGAUAUCGGAUUAGCUAGUUGGUGGGGUAACGGCUCACCAAGGCGACGAUCCGUAGCUGGUUUGAGAGGACGACCAGCCACACUGGGACUGGAGAUUACCAGACCCUACGGGAGGGCAGUGGGGAAUUUUGGACACAAUGGGGAAACUUCUGAUCCAGCCAUCCCGCGUGUGCGAUGAAGGCCUUCGAAGUUAAAGCACUUUUGGCAGGAAAGAAACGGCAUCGGAUAAUACCCCGUGCAACUGACGGUACCUGCAGAAUAAGACCAGUUAACCACGUGCCACAGCAGCCGUACAGUAAUACGUAGGUGUUGCUAAUCGGAAUUACUGGCGCGUAAAAGCGGCAAGUGGUUCGGAAAGAAAGAUGUGAAAUCCCAGAGCUUAACUUUUUUGGGAACUGCAUUUUUUAACUACCGAGCUAGAGUGUGUCAGAGGGAGGUGGAAUUCCGCGUAGCAGGAAUGCGUGAUAUGCGAGUGGACACCGAUGCACAUAUACAGCCUCCUGGGGCCAGCACUAUCGCCUUGGCGCACGAAAGCGUGGGGAGAAGCAAACAUUAGGAUUAGAUACCCUGGUAGUCCACGCCCUAAACGAUGUCAACUAGCUGUUGGGGCUCUCGGGCCUGGUAGCGCAGCUAACGCGUGAAGCUGACCGCCUGGGGAGUACGGCUCUGCAAGAUUAAAACUCAAAGGAAUUGACGGGACCCGCACAAGCGGUGGAUGAUGUGGAUUAAUUCGAUGCAACGCGAAAAACUCACCUACCCUUGACAUACCUGAAUCCCGAAGAGAUUUGGGAGUGCUCGCAAGAGAACCGGAACACAGGUGCUGCAUGUUGUCACAACAAAGGAGAUGUUAAGCUGUCCCGCAAAAGGCAAACCUUUGUCAUUAGUUGCUACGAAAGGGCACUCUAAUGAGACUGCUCGGUGACAAACCGGAGGAAGGUGGGGAUGACGUCAAGUCCCCUGCUAGUUCUUGCGGGGUAGGGUCAGCACGUCAUACAAUGGUCGGGACAGAGGGUCGCCAACCCGCGAGGGGAGCUAAUCCCAGAAACCCGAUCGUAGUCCGGAUCGCAGUCUGCAACUCGACUGCGUGAAGUCGGAAUCGCUAUAGUAAUCGUGGAUCAGCAUGUCGCAGAAUACGUUCCCGUUCUUGUACACACCGCCCGUCACACCAUGGAGAAGUGGGUUUCAAACAGAAGUAGUUAGCCUAACCGUAAGGGAGGGCGAUUACCACGAGAUUCAUGACUGGGGUGAAGUCGGGUCAGCG
RNAcentral lists this ribosomal RNA (1482 nucleotides) under uncultured Bordetella sp. RNAcentral's name for it is "partial 16S-23S ribosomal RNA intergenic spacer". It matches the Rfam family "Bacterial small subunit ribosomal RNA". Lineage: Bacteria; Pseudomonadati; Pseudomonadota; Betaproteobacteria; Burkholderiales; Alcaligenaceae. The record is from RNAcentral.